GGCACAUUUGUCCAAACCCUUAGAAUUCACGGCAGCAGAGUGAACCCUGAUGCACACUGUGGACUUUGGGCGAUGAAGGUGCGUCCACGCAGCUCAUCGACUGUAACAAAGAGCAGACUGUGUGUCCUGUGUCCUGAAAACCACGUCCCAAGCAUCGCAAAUACUCAAAACACCUUGAUGAGAGGUGUGCUUACAACGAGGAGCUACGGGACUCUGAUGGGUUCCUGCCUUCUCCCCGCUCCGCCUCAUUCCCGGGGGAAACGCCAACCGUCCGACCGACCGUCCAACCGACCGACCGUCUGACCGACCGUGGGGACAUUAUCUCAAAACGACUGUCGAAUGAACACGCUCAGCAGUUAGAGGCCCCAUCAGAGCCACUGACCUCCUGACCCGGCUCACGGAGGAGCCGUCCGCCCUCCCCUCGGCCGGCACCACACCAGCCGCCCUGCGUCUUACGAAAAGGCCAGCCCGGCCGGCGUGGCUCAGUGAUCGACCAUCGACCUACGAACCAGGAGGUCAGAGUUCGACUCCCGGUCAGGCACAUGCCCGGGU
Long non-coding RNA from Myotis myotis, 552 nucleotides. RefSeq lists it as uncharacterized. The record is from RefSeq and is a predicted model, not a curated record. The transcript is spliced from 3 exons. NCBI's taxonomy places the organism in Eukaryota, Metazoa, Chordata, Mammalia, Chiroptera, Vespertilionidae.